Molecule: ribosomal RNA, 440 nt
Filed under: uncultured bacterium
Lineage: Bacteria
Description: partial 16S ribosomal RNA
Rfam family: Bacterial small subunit ribosomal RNA
Source: RNAcentral
CCUACGGGUGGCAGCAGUAGGGAAUAUUGCUCAAUGGGGGAAACCCUGAAGCAGCAACGCCGCGUGGAGGAUGAAGGUUUUCGGAUUGUAAACUCCUUUUGUUAGAGAAGAUAAUGACGGUAUCUAACGAAUAAGCACCGGCUAACUCCGUGCCAGCAGCCGCGGUAAUACGGAGGGUGCAAGCGUUACUCGGAAUCACUGGGCGUAAAGAGAGCGUAGGCGGGAUAGCAAGUCAGAUGUGAAAGCCUAUGGCUUAACCAUAGAACUGCAUUUGAAACUGUUAUUCUAGAGUAGGGGAGAGGGAGGUGGAAUUCUUGGUGUAGGAGUAAAAUCCGUAGAGAUCGAGAGGAAUACUCGUGGCGAAGGCGACCUGCUAGAACAUAACUGACGCUGAUGCGCGAAGGCGUGGGGAGCAAACAGGAUUAGAUACCCUAGUAGUC